AUAAAUACAAAAGACAUCCUAAAGAAUUAUUAGAGGAAAUUUAAAUAAAUCUUAACCAAAUUCUACUUUAUUGCUAAUUGAAAUCUUAAUAAACUUUAAUUAAAUCCUAAAUCCUAAAUUAAAUCCUAAAAAAUCUUAAGUCCUAAAUAAAUCUUAAAUCUUAAAUCAAAUCCUAGACAAAUCCUAAAUCCUAAACCAAAUCUUAGAUUGAUCUUAAAUUCUAAACGAAAUCCUAGACAAAUUCUAAAUCCUAAAUCAAAUCUUAACUAAAACCUAACCAACUCAAACCAAUCCUAAAGUAGAUUAGAAUCCCAA
Molecule: long non-coding RNA, 315 nt
Filed under: Physcomitrium patens
Lineage: Eukaryota; Viridiplantae; Streptophyta; Bryopsida; Funariales; Funariaceae
Description: long non-coding RNA (PPAT_LNC001175)
Source: RNAcentral